GAGGGGGAAAAAUUGCUUCACAGUGUGGUAACUGGUAUCAAAGCACUAUUGCACAAGGCAUAAUUUUAAUUAAAAAAUUA
Molecule: non-coding RNA, 80 nt
Filed under: Mucochytrium quahogii
Lineage: Eukaryota; Bigyra; Thraustochytrida; Thraustochytriidae
Source: RNAcentral